Lagopus leucura (white-tailed ptarmigan) is the source of this 1105-nucleotide long non-coding RNA. RefSeq lists it as uncharacterized. The record is from RefSeq and is a predicted model, not a curated record. The transcript is spliced from 3 exons. Lineage: Eukaryota; Metazoa; Chordata; Aves; Galliformes; Phasianidae.
AAGCGGCAUGGCGCUGUCCGAGCCUCCGUUCUCCCGCUGCGCCGGGGCUGGUCGAGCGGCUGGAGGCGGUGCUGAGUGCAAACCGCGGGCUCGGGCAGCUGUGAGAGGAUUUUGUUUUAUCCUCUGAGCUGUGUUGUUGUAACCGAGGAGCGUGGUUGCUGGGAGAGGGGGUGCUGCUGUGUUCAGCACUUCCUGUGGGGAAAUCUUUCCACUGGAAAAAGACAUUGAGCCUUUGACAGUCGUGCUCUGGACUCAAUCCUGCAGCCAUUUCUUUGUCCAUCGAACAGCCUGCCCAUCAAAUCCAUCUUUCCAGUUUCAAGAGAAGGAUGUUGUGGGAUACCGGGUCAAAGGCCUUACUGAAAUCCAGAUGGAUGACAUCAGUCGCUCUUCCCUUGUCUAUUGGUGCAGUGACACCAUCACAAAAGGUCACUAGAUUGGUUAAGCAUGGACUUCAUGAAGCCAUGCUGGUUCUCCUGCAUUGGCUCCCUGCCUUCCAUGAGUUCCAGAGCUUCCAGGAGGAUCUGCUCUGUGAUCUUUGCAGCACAGAGUUGCAGAAAAUGUAUUUCUGAGCUGAAGCUACAUGACGUGUCAUUACCGUAAGAAUGUGAACUGCUGUUCACAAAGAAGUGCCCUGCAGAAGAGGAAGACCAGAGAUGUUAACAAGCACCAGGGAUGAGCUGCAGUGUGGGUUAUACAAAUUGCUGCAGCCAGCUGGGAAGGGCUGCUGUCCAUCUGCGGUGGCAAAAGCGAUAUUCUGCUUGAAACACAACAAUGAUGUUUCUCUCAUCCGUACAUAAUGCUUCCUUCUCCUUCAUUUUUGCUCCCCAUUGUUGACAGAAGCUCCUCAUGCCGUAGUCAUAGAAAGAUAAUUUCAAUUUGGUUGCUCUCUAGUGAACAGAUACGAAGCUCUGUCCCAGCUCUGUAAUGAAAAACGUCUUAAAUUAAAAUGAUUAUUGAUUUUUAAUCCAGCUUUGUGUUUUCAGUUGUCUUUGCAACAAAAGUUGGUGUGAUGCCAAUGUCUCUUCCCAUUGCAGAAUGGUGUAAAUGGUAAAUUCUGAUUUGGAAUUUGGAUAAAUAAAGUGGUAAAUAAAAUGUUUGGAAACGG